This 482-nucleotide ribosomal RNA is filed under the name uncultured bacterium. RNAcentral describes it as "partial 16S ribosomal RNA". It matches the Rfam family "Bacterial small subunit ribosomal RNA", at positions 28 to 507 of the family's 1533-position model. The record is from RNAcentral.
GACGAACGCUGGCGGCGUGCUUAACACAUGCAAGUCGAACGAUGAAGAAGAGAAACGCGAACUUCGGUUCAAAUUUCACUUCGGAUUAGUGGCAGACGGGUGAGUAACGCGUGAGCAACCUACCUCUUACAAAGGGAUAGCCUCGGGAAACCGUGAUUAAUACCAUAUGACACAUUCAUAAGGCAUCUUAAGAAUGUUAAAGCUACGGCGGUAAGAGAUGGGCUCGCGUCCCAUUAGCUAGUUGGUGAGGUAACGGCCCACCAAGGCGACGAUGGGUAACCGGCCUGAGAGGGUGAACGGUCACAUUGGAACUGAGACACGGUCCAAACUCCUACGGGAGGCAGCAGUGGGGAAUAUUGCACAAUGGAGGGAACUCUGAUGCAGCGACGCCGCGUGAGCGAUGAAGGAAUUCGUUUCGUAAAGCUCUGUUCUAUGGGAAGAAAAGGACUGUACCUUAGGAGAAAGCCCCGGCUAAAUACGUG